RNAcentral lists this transfer RNA (73 nucleotides) under Camelus bactrianus (Bactrian camel). It matches the Rfam family "tRNA". From Rfam's summary of the family: Transfer RNA (tRNA) molecules are approximately 80 nucleotides in length. Their secondary structure includes four short double-helical elements and three loops (D, anti-codon, and T loops). Further hydrogen bonds mediate the characteristic L-shaped molecular structure. tRNAs have two regions of fundamental functional importance: the anti-codon, which is responsible for specific mRNA codon recognition, and the 3' end, to which the tRNAs corresponding amino acid is attached (by aminoacyl-tRNA synthetases). tRNAs cope with the degeneracy of the genetic code in two manners: having more than one tRNA (with a specific anti-codon) for a particular amino acid; and 'wobble' base-pairing, i.e. permitting non-standard base-pairing at the 3rd anti-codon position. RNAcentral also lists the same sequence under 2 other names. The record is from Rfam by way of RNAcentral. Lineage: Eukaryota; Metazoa; Chordata; Mammalia; Artiodactyla; Camelidae.
GAGGGUAUGGCUCAAGUGGUAGAGCACAUGCUUAGCGUGCACGAGGUCCUGGGUUCAAUCCCCAGCACUGCCU